RNAcentral lists this transfer RNA (71 nucleotides) under Schaalia meyeri. RNAcentral's name for it is "Actinomyces meyeri tRNA_Cys_GCA". It matches the Rfam family "tRNA". From Rfam's summary of the family: Transfer RNA (tRNA) molecules are approximately 80 nucleotides in length. Their secondary structure includes four short double-helical elements and three loops (D, anti-codon, and T loops). RNAcentral also lists the same sequence under 1 other name. Lineage: Bacteria; Bacillati; Actinomycetota; Actinomycetes; Actinomycetales; Actinomycetaceae. The record is from RNAcentral.
GGUGGGUUGGCCGAGAGGCGAGGCAGCGGCCUGCAAAGCCGUCCACACGGGUUCGAAUCCCGUACCCACCU